RNAcentral lists this ribosomal RNA (242 nucleotides) under uncultured bacterium. RNAcentral's name for it is "partial 16S ribosomal RNA". It matches the Rfam family "Bacterial small subunit ribosomal RNA", at positions 103 to 334 of the family's 1533-position model. The record is from RNAcentral.
CGGGUGAGUAACGCGUGGGUAAUCUACCCUUGAGUCUGGAAUAACGUCUCGAAAGAGGCGCUAAUACGGGAUAAGACCACAGGGACUUCGGUUCUAGGGGUAAAAGGUCCUUCACGGGAUCGCUUGAGGAUGAGCCUGCGUGACAUUAGAUUGAUGGUGGGGUAAAGGCCUACCAUAUUGUCUACGAUGUCUAGCUGGUCUGAGAGGAUGAUCAGCCACACUGGGACUGGAACACGGCCCAG